GAGCAAUCUGUGUGACUGCGUACCUUUUGUAUAAUGGGUCAGCGACUUAUAUUCUGUAGCAAGGUUAACCGAAUAGGGGAGCCGAAGGGAAACCGAGUCUUAACUGGGCGUUAAGUUGCAGGGUAUAGACCCGAAACCCGGUGAUCUAGCCAUGGGCAGGUUGAAGGUUGGGUAACACUAACUGGAGGACCGAACCGACUAAUGUUGAAAAAUUAGCGGAUGACUUGUGGCUGGGGGUGAAAGGCCAAUCAAACCGGGAGAUAGCUGGUUCUCCCCGAAAGCUAUUUAGGUAGCGCCUCGUGAAUUCAUCUCCGGGGGUAGAGCACUGUUUCGGCAAGGGGGUCAUCCCGACUUACCAACCCGAUGCAAACUGCGAAUACCGGAGAAUGUUAUCACGGGAGACACACGGCGGGUGCUAACGUCCGUCGUGAAGAGGGAAACAACCCAGACCGCCAGCUAAGGUCCCAAAGUCAUGGUUAAGUGGGAAACGAUGUGGGAAGGCCCAGACAGCCAGGAUGUUGGCUUAGAAGCAGCCAUCAUUUAAAGAAAGCGUAAUAGCUCACUGGUCGAGU
Molecule: ribosomal RNA, 572 nt
Filed under: Escherichia coli
Lineage: Bacteria; Pseudomonadati; Pseudomonadota; Gammaproteobacteria; Enterobacterales; Enterobacteriaceae
Description: partial 23S ribosomal RNA
Rfam family: Bacterial large subunit ribosomal RNA
Source: RNAcentral